RNAcentral lists this ribosomal RNA (211 nucleotides) under uncultured bacterium. RNAcentral describes it as "partial 16S ribosomal RNA". It matches the Rfam family "Bacterial small subunit ribosomal RNA", at positions 524 to 736 of the family's 1533-position model. The record is from RNAcentral.
UACGUAGGGUGCGAGCGUUGCCCGGAUUUAUUGGGCGUAAAGGGCGCGUAGGCGGUGAGAUGCGUCUGUUGUGAAAUCGCUCGGCUCAACUGGGCGGGGUCAGCGGAUACGGUCUCACUUGAGCAAGCUAGGGGCAAUGGAAUUCCCGGUGUAGUGGUGGAAUGCGUAGAUAUCGGGAGGAACACCAGUGGCGAAGGCGGUUGCCUGGGCU